AGUGGUUAGAGUGUAGGGGAGGCAGGUAGCCUAGUGGUUAGAGUGUAGAGGAGGCAGGUAGCCUAGUGGUUAGAGUGUAGGGGCGGCAGGUAGCCUAGUGGUUAGAGUGUAGGGGCGGCAGGUAGCCUAGUGGUUAGAGUGUAGAGGUGGCAGGUAGCCUAGUGGUUAGAGUGUAGAGGGGGCAGGUAGCCUAGUGGUUAGAGUGUAGAGGGGGCAGGUAGCCUAGUGGUUAGAGUGUAGAGGUGGCAGGUAGCCUAGUGGUUAGAGUGUAGAGGAGGCAGGUAGCCUAGUGGUUAGAGUGUAGAGGAGGCAGGUAGCCUAGUGGUUAGAGUGUAGAGGCGGCAGGUAGCCUAGUGGUUAGAGCGUUGGACUAGUAACCGGAAGGUUGCACGUUCAAACCCCCGAGCUGACAAGGUACACAUCUGUCGUUCUGCCCCUG
Long non-coding RNA from Oncorhynchus tshawytscha (Chinook salmon), 439 nucleotides. Lineage: Eukaryota; Metazoa; Chordata; Actinopteri; Salmoniformes; Salmonidae. The record is from Ensembl.